GCUGCGGCAGCGCGCGGCGACAGAGAGGAGCAGCGCUGGGCGCUCGUGGCGGGUCCUCCUCCUCCUCCACCCUCGGGCUUCUUGUCUCCGCUGCUCGCCACUGCUCGCCGCCCGCAUCCUCAGUCGGGGCGCCUGGAGGAGGAGGAGUCGCCGCUGCCAUCAGGGUCCCCGCCGCAGUCGCCCACCGUCCCUCCGGGCCUCUCUUCUCGCCACUGCUCGCACCUCUCCGCGCCACGAUGGGGCUGCUGGACUCAGAGCCCGGCAGCGUCCUGAACGCAGUGUCCACGGCGUUCAACGACACCGUGGAGUUCUACCGCUGGACCUGGUCCAUUGCAGAUAAACGUGUAGAAGACUGGCCGCUGAUGCAGUCUCCAU
RNAcentral lists this long non-coding RNA (375 nucleotides) under Rattus norvegicus (Norway rat). Its description in RNAcentral is "long non-coding RNA NONRATT028827". The record is from RNAcentral. Lineage: Eukaryota; Metazoa; Chordata; Mammalia; Rodentia; Muridae.